UACGUAGGGGGCUAGCGUUGUCCGGAAUCAUUGGGCGUAAAGAGCGUGUAGGCGGUCCGGUAAGUCCGCUGUGAAAGUCGGGGGCUCAACCCUCGAAUGCCGGUGGAUACUGUCGGGCUAGAGUACGGAAGAGGCGAGUGGAAUUCCUGGUGUAGCGGUGAAAUGCGCAGAUAUCAGGAGGAACACCAAUUGCGAAGGCAGCUCGCUGGGACGUUACUGACGCUGAGACGCGAAAGCGUGGGGAGCAAACAGG
Molecule: ribosomal RNA, 253 nt
Filed under: uncultured bacterium
Lineage: Bacteria
Description: partial 16S ribosomal RNA
Rfam family: Bacterial small subunit ribosomal RNA
Source: RNAcentral